UACGGAGGGUGCAAGCGUUAUCCGGAUUUACUGGGUUUAAAGGGUGCGCAGGCGGAUUUGUAAGUCAGAGGUGAAAUCUCCGAGCUUAACUCGGAAACUGCCUUUGAUACUAUAAGUCUUGAAUGACGUUGAGGUUAGCGGAAUAUGUCAUGUAGCGGUGAAAUGCUUAGAUAUCACAUAGAACAUCUAUUGCGAAGGCAGCUCACUAAGCGUAUAUUGACGCUGAUGCACGAAAGCGUGGGGAUCAAACAGG
This 253-nucleotide ribosomal RNA is filed under the name uncultured bacterium. Its description in RNAcentral is "partial 16S ribosomal RNA". It matches the Rfam family "Bacterial small subunit ribosomal RNA", at positions 524 to 776 of the family's 1533-position model. The record is from RNAcentral.